GCAAGUCGAACGAUCUCUUUCUUCGGAGGGGGAUAGUGGCGAACGGGUGAGUAACGCGUGGGUAAUAUGCCUUUAGGACCGGAACAACCUACCGAAAGGUAGGCUAAUACCGGAUAAGACCACAGACCUAAUUGGUCCGGGGUUAAAGAGGGGGAUUCUGAAAAUGAACCUCUCACCUUUAGAGUAGCCCGCGUCCUAUCAGCUUGUUGGUGGGGUAAAAGCCUACCAAGGCGAUGACGGGUAGCUGGUCUGAGAGGAUGGUC
RNAcentral lists this ribosomal RNA (263 nucleotides) under uncultured bacterium. RNAcentral's name for it is "partial 16S ribosomal RNA". It matches the Rfam family "Bacterial small subunit ribosomal RNA", at positions 57 to 305 of the family's 1533-position model. The record is from RNAcentral.